AAAAGUCGUAACAAGGUCUCCGUUGGUGAACCAGCGGAGGGAUCAUUACAGAGUUGCAAAACUCCUAACCCUUUGUGAACAUACCUAAGUUGCUUCGGCAGGCAGGCCCAGGGCGGGUCUGUAGCCUGUUUUUCAGGUGCCUGCCGGAGGUUUUAAACUCUAUAUUUUAGUGAUAUCUGAGUAAUUAUAUAAAUAAGUCAAAACUUUCAGCAACGGAUCUCUUGGUUCUGG
Molecule: unclassified non-coding RNA, 231 nt
Filed under: fungal sp.
Lineage: Eukaryota; Fungi
Description: partial internal transcribed spacer region
Rfam family: Eukaryotic small subunit ribosomal RNA (bases 1-48)
Source: RNAcentral